Molecule: long non-coding RNA, 663 nt
Organism: Papaver somniferum (opium poppy)
Lineage: Eukaryota; Viridiplantae; Streptophyta; Magnoliopsida; Ranunculales; Papaveraceae
Exons: 2
Source: RefSeq, a predicted model, not a curated record
ACAAGCUCAGCGGGCUUAUCACAAGCUUUCUUCUCUUUCGGAAAGAGGAAUUCGUUUUUCAUCACCACCACUAAGAAGAGGAAAAAAACAACGUAAAAUGAUUUACAGGAGAUGGAGUUUGUUGACCGGGCCACCUGCAAUCAUAGGCGGAGUCGUUGCCGCCGUCGUGGUUGCUAGUUUCGUUCUUCCAAAUCCAUUUGUGAAGGAGCAGAAGAAACAAAAUUUGUCAUCUACCUCCAAGUAGAUGCAAAGUCGAGAGAGAUGAUAUGAGGUAGCAAUUGGGAUUCAACAUUUGCAAUUUCUUUUUAGCUUGUUAUAUUUGGUUUGUAGACAUUAGUUUAAAUAAAUAACUCGUGGGAUGUAUUUGGAACAACAAAACACCACUUGAAACCAUUCCAUUUUAUGUCUACAAAAUCUCUUCUGUUUUCUGCAUCUCACCAUGACUGUUUUGUAAUUAAUGAAAAUUUUUGGUCAAUGCGUCGAAUUUAACUAACAAGAAAUUUCAGUGAUAUGUGUGCCUAUGUGUUACUGCUGAGUGGAUUACACAACACACUUGAAACACCUUGAAACAUUCUAUUCCAUGUCUGAUUCUUAAUUCUGAACAUUUAUGUAUCUGUACAGUAUAAGAACAUAUUCUUAAUGACAAAGCAUUGUUUCAAUUCA